UUCUGCGCGCCGCCUCCCCGCGAGCACCUGCUUCCGGGCGGCUGGCGCGCGCUGCUCCCGGCUUCUCUGGGGUUUCCACGCGGGCCGGCGCGAUGGGCAAGAAGGGCAAGAAGGAGAAGAAGGGCCGCGGGGCGGAGAAGACGGCCGCCAAGAUGGAGAAGAAGGUGUCCAAGCGCUCGCGGAAGGAGGAGGAAGACCUGGAAGCUCUCAUAGCCCAUUUCCAGACGCUCGACGCCAGAAAGACUCAGAUCGUGGAAACCCCGUGCUCCCCACCUUCACCACGGUUAAAUGCCUCCCUCUCCGCGCAUCCUGAGAAAGAUGAAUUAAUCCUUUUCGGAGGUGAAUAUUUCAAUGGCCAAAAAACUUUUUUGUAUAAUGAGCUCUACAUCUACAACAUCAGAAAGGAUAGCUGGUCCAAAGUCGACAUCCCCAAUCCACCUCCAAGGCGCUGCGCCCACCAGGCGGUGGCGGUGCCUCAAGGUGGCGGACAGCUGUGGGUCUUCGGAGGGGAGUUUGCUUCUCCCGACGGAGAGCGAUUCUACCACUACAGGGAUCUCUGGGUCCUGCAUCUGGCCACCAAGGCCUGGGAGCAAGUCAAAGCAACAGGAGGUCCUUCGGGGCGGAGUGGACAUCGGAUGGUAGCCUGGAAGAGACAGCUACUCCUCUUUGGUGGCUUCCAUGAGAGCACAAGGGACUACGUCUAUUACAACGACGUGUACGCCUUUGACCUGGACACAUUCACGUGGAGCAAGCUGUGCCCGUCCGGGACGGGGCCCAGCCCCCGCUCUGGCUGCCAGAUGUCCGUCACGCCGCAGGGCAGCGUGGUCAUCUACGGCGGCUACUCGAAGCAGAGAAUCAAGAAAGAUGUGGACAGAGGCACCCCGCACUGCGACAUGUUCCUGCUGAAGUCUGAGGAGGGCAGAGAAGGCAGCUGGGCGUGGUCUCGGAUCAACCCGUCGGGAGUCAAGCCCUCUCCGAGGUCUGGCUUUUCGGUGGCCGUGGCACCAAAUCACCAGACGCUGCUCUUCGGGGGUGUCUGUGACGAGGAGGAAGAGGAGCGCCUGGAGGGUGACUUCUUCAACGACCUGUACUUCUUCGAUGCCACCAGGAGCCGCUGGUUUGCGGGACAGCUGAAGGGACCCAAGACGGAGAAGAGACGGCGCCGGCGGGGCAGGAGGGCGGGGCCUGAUGGAGCCGGCGAGCAGGAGCAGGCGUGUGGGGGAGCCGGCGCCCCAGCACCCCUGGAGGUGGUCACGGAGGUGGCAGCGGAGGAUGGGACAGUGGUCACCAUCAAGCAGAUGCUCCGUGUCCCGCAUGCAGCGGGACAGCCCCAGCCUGAGGACGAAGAUAGUCCCGAGGAAGCCAGCAGCCCCGUGGUGGAGCCGAGUCCGCGCUCCAACGCCAUGCUGGCCGUGAAGCACGGGGUGCUCUACGUCUACGGGGGCAUGUUUGAAGCAGGUGACCGCCAGGUCACCCUCAGCGACUUGUACUGCCUCGACCUCCACAAGAUGGAGGAGUGGAAGGCUUUGGUGGAGAUGGACCCAGAAACUCAGGAGUGGCUGGAGGAGACGGAAUCAGAUGAGGACAGCGACCAGGCUGAGGGUGCCGAGGGUGGCGAGGAGGAGGAAGAGGAGGAGGAAGAGGAAGAGGAAAGCGCAGAGGAUGGCAGCUCGGAGGAUGGAGGAUGACAGGAGGAGGCUGAAGGGCACGGACUCCUGCGUCCCCACACAGCGUCCCCAGCCUGGGCCGUCCGGCUCCGGAGCGGCGGAUCAUCUGUGGAGGCAUGUGGUCGCCAGCGUGCCGACCGCUGCCUGCUCCAGCGGUAUUUUUGCUGUUGCGACAAUAUCAGAUGAAAAAGUUAAUGAACAAGAUGGCGACUCCGAUGUUCAGCAGGAUCACCAUGACGACCAGGAUCGGCGCCGAGCCCUGGAACGGAAGGAGAGGAGCAGCCGUGAGCGGCGCCUCGGCCACACCUCCCACCCCUGCUGUCACCCACACUGCGCUCCAUGUCCACCCCUCGGGGUCUGCCUCCAGGAGGAGGUGCCCACGGGCUUGUGAGUCUGGAGUUGCUGGUCGUGAAGGGCCCUGUGGUCUCGCAAACCGUGGCACUGGUGCCCCUGGAAAGAAAACCCCGGGCCUCGCUAACUGAACAUCCUGCCCCUGCCAGGCAGCAGCUGUCCCUGGCUCUGCAGAACUGAGACUUCAGAGCAUUGGGACUGGGAUUCCAGGAGAGUCUCGUGGCUGCCACAGCCACUUCUCUAAACAAGCCUUCCUCGACAGCGUACCUUCCCUUCAACAGGGACCUGCCCUGGACAGCUCUGUGCUGACCGACUCCGGCCACCACCCCGAGACCUCGGGAGCGCCCACCCGUGGCGGCUCCGGUGGAACCCCAGGCACCAGGGCCCUGCCUCCGCGGCUCUGCUUGGGCCCGAGCCUGCUGAGGUAGGGCAGGAGGCGUGUGGCCCCACCUGUCCCUUCGGCAGGGAGGAGAGGUCGCAUGGUCCCUCUCUGUGGGCCUCGGGGUGCUGGACGUUCACCCUGUGGGAGAGCAGCACCAGGGCCAGCGCCCGCCCAGGGUCUCUGCGAAGGCCACGAGUCCCGGCCCCUCCCCCACAGCCGACUGGGAAGUGCACGCAGGAGGGACGUGACUCCAGAGGCAUCACCUCGCCCCCCUGGAGCUCCCCGCUGGCUGCUUGUCCCUCAGUAAGAAUGGAAAACAGUCUAACCGGCAUGGCUGCGUGGCUUUCCCCAGAGCAGCAGGGCCACGCCUGGGGCUGUGUGUACCCUUGCAGGGUGGCACCACGUAUGUGCCAGCGUGAUCCAGCUCACACAGCAACGUUCACAAUAGCCGAGAAGUGGAAACAACUCAGAGUCCCUCCACAGAUCGACAAACAACCGUGGUGUGUCCCCAUGUGGCUCACUCAGCCCUGGAGGGGACGAAGCUCUGACAGGCCACAGCGUGAUCAGCCCUUGAGAACAUGAAGCCAGACCCAGGAGGCCGUGUGUCGUGUGAGUCCGUUCGUGGGAAGGUGCAGAAAACACAGAUCCAUGGACAGUGGAUUUGGGGCUGCUUAAGGGCUAUGAGGCUUUUCCCAAGGUGAUAGGAAUGUUCUAGAAUUAGCAGAGAGUUGCACAACUCUUGAGUAGAUUGAAGACCACUGAACUGUGUGCUUCAGACAGGGAUUCUAUAAGAUUAUACCUCAAUAAAGCUGUUCCCUAAACAGAA
Molecule: RNA transcript, 3226 nt
Organism: Lemur catta (Ring-tailed lemur)
Lineage: Eukaryota; Metazoa; Chordata; Mammalia; Primates; Lemuridae
Gene: KLHDC4
Gene name: kelch domain containing 4
Exons: 14
Source: RefSeq, a predicted model, not a curated record